RNAcentral lists this ribosomal RNA (447 nucleotides) under uncultured bacterium. Its description in RNAcentral is "bacterial SSU rRNA". It matches the Rfam family "Bacterial small subunit ribosomal RNA", at positions 355 to 825 of the family's 1533-position model. The record is from RNAcentral.
UCGGGAAUUUUGGGCAAUGGGGGAAACCCUGACCCAGCAACGCCGCGUGAAGGAUGAAGUAUUUCGGUAUGUAAACUUCGAAAGAAUAGGAAGAAUAAAUGACGGUACUAUUUAUAAGGUCCGGCUAACUACGUGCCAGCAGCCGCGGUAAUACGUAGGGACCAAGCGUUGUUCGGAUUUACUGGGCGUAAAGGGCGCGUAGGCGGCAAUUCAAGUCAUCUGUGAAAUCUCCGGGCUUAACUCGGAACGGUCAGAUGAUACUGCUUUGCUAGAGUGCAGAAGGGGCAAUCGGAAUUCUUGGUGUAGCGGUGAAAUGCGUAGAUAUCAAGAGGAACACCUGAGGUGAAGACGGGUUGCUGGGCUGAUACUGACGCUGAGGCGCGAAAGCUAGGGUAGCAAACGGGAUUAGAUACCCACGUAGUCCCUGAGCGGGCUGGCAAGGCGCAU